This 812-nucleotide ribosomal RNA is filed under the name uncultured archaeon. Its description in RNAcentral is "bacterial SSU rRNA". It matches the Rfam family "Archaeal small subunit ribosomal RNA", at positions 52 to 869 of the family's 1478-position model. The record is from RNAcentral.
UGCGAGUCGAAUGUAGCAAUACAUGGCGUACUGCUCAGUAACACGUGGACAACCUACCCUUGAGUCGGGGAUAAACCCGGGAAACUGGGUAUAAUACCCGAUAGUCCUCGGCUGCUGGAAUGCAUCGAGAACGAAAGCUCCGGCGCUCAAGGAUGGGUCUGCGGCCUAUCAGGUAGUAGUGGGUGUAGCGUACCUACUAGCCUACGACGGGUACGGGUUGUGAGAGCAAGAGCCCGGAGAUGGAUUCUGAGACACGAAUCCAGGCCCUACGGGGUGCAGCAGGCGCGAAAACUUUACAAUGCUGGAAACAGCGAUAAGGGGACCUCGAGUGCCAGGUUACAAAUCUGGCUGUCGUGAUGCCUAAAAAGCAUUGCAUAGCAAGGGCCGGGCAAGACCGGUGCCGGCCGCCGCGGUAACACCGGCGGCUCGAGUGGUAACCGUUAUUAUUGGGUCUAAAGGGUCUGUAGCCGGCCGGAUAAGUCUCUUGGGAAAUCUGGCAGCUUAACUGUCAGGCUUUCAGGAGAUACUGUCUGGCUCGAGGCCGGGAGAGGUGAGAGGUACUUCAGGGGUAGGGGUGAAAUCUUGUAAUCCUUGAAGGACCACCAGUGGCGAAGGCGUCUCACCAGAACGGACCUGACGGCAAGGGACGAAAGCUAGGGGCACGAACCGGAUUAGAUACCCGGGUAGUCCUAGCCGUAAACGAUACUCGCUAGGUGUCGGCCACGGUGCGACCGUUGUCGGUGCCGUAGGGAAGCCGUGAAGCGAGCCACCUGGGAAGUACGGCCGCAAGGCUGAAACUUAAAGGAAUUGGC